GACGUAGGGCGCGAGCGUUGUCCGGAUUUAUUGGGCGUAAAGAGCUCGUAGGCGGCUUGUUGCGUCAGCUGUGAAAACCCGCAGCUCAACUGUGGGCUUGCAGCUGAUACGGGCAGACUAGAGUGCGGUAGGGGAGACUGGAAUUCCUGGUGUAGCGGUGGAAUGCGCAGAUAUCAGGAGGAACACCGAUGGCGAAGGCGGCCCACUGGAUCGGUACUGACGCUGAGGUGCGAAAGCGUGGGGAGCAAACAGG
This 253-nucleotide ribosomal RNA is filed under the name uncultured bacterium. RNAcentral's name for it is "partial 16S ribosomal RNA". It matches the Rfam family "Bacterial small subunit ribosomal RNA", at positions 524 to 776 of the family's 1533-position model. The record is from RNAcentral.